AUUUAGUACUGAAGGUUUGCUAGAUGCCUGUGUUCUGUUCAUUUUAGAUUUUCCUAAUCUUUUCAUCUCAUUUCUAUCCCAAGCAGCUACAGUAACAAAAUUAAAUUUAAUGUUCAUAUGUGUGCGCCUUUUUUUCCCUUUCACAAUAUUAUUUAUCAGACUUCAAUAUGUUGUUUUGAUUGAACAUUGUCAAUAGAGCCUAUAUUUAUGUCACAUCUUGUUGAAU
RNAcentral lists this unclassified non-coding RNA (226 nucleotides) under Hevea brasiliensis (rubber tree). The record is from RNAcentral. Lineage: Eukaryota; Viridiplantae; Streptophyta; Magnoliopsida; Malpighiales; Euphorbiaceae.